This 492-nucleotide ribosomal RNA is filed under the name uncultured bacterium. RNAcentral describes it as "partial 16S ribosomal RNA". It matches the Rfam family "Bacterial small subunit ribosomal RNA", at positions 28 to 507 of the family's 1533-position model. The record is from RNAcentral.
GAUGAACGCUAGCUACAGGCUUAACACAUGCAAGUCGAGGGGAAACGACAUCCAAAGCUUGCUUUUGAUGGGCGUCGACCGGCGCACGGGCUAGUAACGCGUAUCCAACCUGCGCAUAACUUCGGAAUAACCUUGCGAAUGUAACACUAAUACCCAAUGAUAUCCCACGGGAGCUUCGGAAUGGGAUUUAAGAUUUAUCGGUGAUUGAUGGGGAUGCGUCUGAUUAGCUUGUUGGCGGGGUAACGGCCCACCAAGGCAACGAUAAGUAGGGGUUCUGAGAGGAAGGUCCCCCAGAUUGGAACUGAGACACGGUCCAAAAUCCUACGGGAGGCAGCAGUAAGGAAUAUUGGUCAAUGGGCGAGAGCCUGAACCAGCCAAGUAGCGUGCAGGAAGACGGCCCUAUGGGUUGUAAACUGCUUGUAUAAGGGAAUAAAGUGGGUAACGUGUGACUUUUUGCAUGUACCUUAUGAAUAAGGACCGGCUAAUUCCGUG